This 1025-nucleotide long non-coding RNA is filed under the name Mus spicilegus (steppe mouse). RNAcentral describes it as "lncRNA (ENSMSIG00000028335.1)". Lineage: Eukaryota; Metazoa; Chordata; Mammalia; Rodentia; Muridae. The record is from RNAcentral.
UUUCUAGCUAUUUUUUCUUUGUUUUUGUCACUGUGGACUAUGUCGGAGAACAUCUGGAGAGUAUCUUCAACUUGGCUGAGAAGUCAGAAUCUAAUCUUUAAGAAGUCAGGUUUCCGGAGGUGUAUAAUAUACACGCACAGAGAGCUGACGUUUUCAGCCUACGGCUCUCCGUGUUUUGUUGGAGGUAUUGCCCUUGUUUGGGUGAAGAACUGAUUAUAGCGGGAGAUGGAGCAGGGGACAUAUCAAGAGUGUAUGACAGCAUAUGACAGAAGACACAGCGUGUUCCUAGGAGGAGGCCCUGGAGGGCCUGUAGUCUGUGUGGGAGACUGAGAUAGACCCUAGGAAGACCUUCUGGGAGAGGGAGGAUGAAGCAAAAACGCAGAAAGCUUAACUGCGGUUGAAAAGCAUAAAAAUAACACGUCCUCCUCUCAUUUUAAAUGUUCCAAUGAAUUUCUCUUUGAGCUUUCAUGUAUAGGUGGAAGUGAAUUAACUUUCUAACUCUUGGUGUGGAUUGAUUUAAACUUGAUUUCCAGAGUGGACUUAGGGUUAAGGAAAGGCUGGACGAGGGACCGGAGAGACGGCUCAGCCCUUACAAACGCUUGCUGUAGAGGACAGGGUUCACCGACCAGCACACACAUCAGGUAGGUCACAGUCAUGGGUAACUCCAGUUCCAGAUAUCCCAUGUCCUCUUGGCCUCUGAGGACACCAGGGCACACUGGUGCACAUAGAGACAGGAAGGCACUCACAUAACACAUUUAUAGAAUCUACUUUUUCUGUUUCUUCGUGGUUUUGGUUUUGGCUGUUGUUUUGAGCCGGUCUCACACUAAAUCGCAUGCAUAGACAGUCUAGAACUUUAUAUGUAGUUCUGACUGGCCUCAAACUCAUAGUGAUCCUCCUGCCUCAGCCUCUUGGGUGCCAUCGUGUCCAGCUCAAAGUCCAGUUUUGAAAGGUUUAUUAAAAAACAACAGGCAUUCCUCCCAUAGAAGAUUUGAAAUGGAGCAGGCAUGGUAAGCCCCCGGGGGGGG